AGGUAGGGUGGCCGAGUAGGCGGCGAGUUGUAGCCUCGUGUACGGGCGCGUGCGCCCCCCGACCA
Molecule: transfer RNA, 65 nt
Filed under: Cyrtodactylus pseudoquadrivirgatus
Lineage: Eukaryota; Metazoa; Chordata; Lepidosauria; Squamata; Gekkonidae
Description: tRNA-Tyr
Source: RNAcentral